UCAGGGGGCCGGGCAGCCGCGGGCCAUUAUGGCGCGAGGAAAGUCCGGGCUCCACGAAACAAGGGUGGCGGGUAACGCCCGCCGGUCCUGCCGCAAGGCGGGGCAAGGGAUAGUGCCACAGAAAGCAAACCGCCGAUGGCCGUGCCGCAAGGCUGGCACAGGCAAGGGUGAAAGGGUGCGGUAAGAGCGCACCGGGGCGCUGGCAACAGGGCUCGCAUGGCAAACCCCACCCGGAGCAAGGCCGAAUAGGGGCCUCGCGCCUGUGCAAACAGGCAGGAGUGUUUCGCUCCGAGAGGCCCGGGUUGGCUGCUUGAGCGGUGCAGCAAUGUGCCGCCUAGAUGAAUGGCUGCCGCCGCGCGAGUGAUGCCCCAAAGGCAUAUCAUGCGCGGAUACAGAACCCGGCUUACAGGCCCCCUGAUGUU
This 422-nucleotide RNase P RNA is filed under the name Erythrobacter sp. SCN 62-14. RNAcentral's name for it is "RNase P RNA component class A". It matches the Rfam family "Bacterial RNase P class A". Rfam says of the family: Ribonuclease P (RNase P) is a ubiquitous endoribonuclease, found in archaea, bacteria and eukarya as well as chloroplasts and mitochondria. Lineage: Bacteria; Pseudomonadati; Pseudomonadota; Alphaproteobacteria; Sphingomonadales; Erythrobacteraceae. The record is from RNAcentral.